Molecule: ribosomal RNA, 246 nt
Filed under: uncultured bacterium
Lineage: Bacteria
Description: partial small subunit ribosomal RNA
Rfam family: Bacterial small subunit ribosomal RNA
Source: RNAcentral
AGGACGAACGCUGGCGGCGUGCUUAACACAUGCAAGUCGAACGAGGUGCUUGCACCUAGUGGCGAACGGGUGAGUAACACGUGAGCAACCUGCCCUUGGCUCUGGGAUAGCCUCCGGAAACGGGGAUUAAUACCGGACAUGACCUUGGUCUGCAUGGACUGAGGUGGAAAGUUUUUCGGCCAGGGAUGGGCUCGCGGCCUAUCAGCUUGUUGGGGGGGUAAUGGCCCACCAAGACUAUGAUCGGUA